CCUACGGGGGGCUGCAGUGAGGAAUAUUGGUCAAUGGACGAGAGUCUGAACCAGCCAAGUAGCGUGAAGGAUGACUGCCCUAUGGGUUGUAAACUUCUUUUAUAUGGGAAUAAAAUGUUCCACGUGUUGGAUUUUGUAUGUACCAUAUGAAUAAGGAUCGGCUAACUCCGUGCCAGCAGCCGCGGUAAUACGGAGGAUCCGAGCGUUAUCCGGUUUUAUUGGGUUUAAAGGGUGCGCAGGCGGUAUUUUAAGUUAGUGGUAAAACGUCGGGGCUUAACCUUGGUUGGCCAUUAAAACUGGAGUACUAGAGUACAGACGAGGUAGGCGGAAUGAGGUAAGUAGCGGUGAAAUGCUUAGAUAUA
Molecule: ribosomal RNA, 362 nt
Filed under: uncultured bacterium
Lineage: Bacteria
Description: partial 16S ribosomal RNA
Rfam family: Bacterial small subunit ribosomal RNA
Source: RNAcentral